Molecule: ribosomal RNA, 464 nt
Filed under: uncultured bacterium
Lineage: Bacteria
Description: partial 16S ribosomal RNA
Rfam family: Bacterial small subunit ribosomal RNA
Source: RNAcentral
GACGAACGCUGGCGGCGUGCUUAACACAUGCAAGUCGAACGGUAAGGCCCUUUCGGGGGUACACGAGUGGCGCACGGGUGAGUAACACGUGGGUGAUCUGCCCUGCACUUUGGGAUAAGCCUGGGAAACUGGGUCUAAUACCGGAUAGGACUACGCGAUGCAUGUCGUGUGGUGGAAAGCUUUUGCGGUGUGGGAUGGGCCCGCGGCCUAUCAGCUUGUUGGUGGGGUGACGGCCUACCAAGGCGACGACGGGUAGCCGGCCUGAGAGGGUGUCCGGCCACACUGGGACUGAGAUACGGCCCAGACUCCUACGGGAGGCAGCAGUGGGGAAUAUUGCACAAUGGGCGCAAGCCUGAUGCAGCGACGCCGCGUGGGGGAUGACGGCCUUCGGGUUGUAAACCCCUUUCAGCACAGACGAAGCGUAAGUGACGGUAGGUGCAGAAGAAGCACCGGCCAACUACGUG